RNAcentral lists this ribosomal RNA (406 nucleotides) under uncultured bacterium. Its description in RNAcentral is "partial 16S ribosomal RNA". It matches the Rfam family "Bacterial small subunit ribosomal RNA", at positions 30 to 526 of the family's 1533-position model. The record is from RNAcentral.
AUUGAACGCUGGCGGCAGGCCUAACACAUGCAAGUCGAGCGCGCGGCGGACGGGGGAGAAUUGUCUGGGAAACAGCCUGAUGGAGGGGGAUAACAACUGGAAACGGUAGCUCAUACCGCGUACCAUCAGAGGUGCCCAUAUGGGAUUAGCUAGUAGGUGGGGUAUUGGCUCACCUAGGCGACGAUCCCUAGCUGGUCUGAGAGGAUGACCAGCCACACUGGAACUGAGACACGGUCCAGACUCCUACGGGAGGCAGCAGUGGGGAAUAUUGCACAAUGGGCGCAAGCCUGAUGCAGCCAUGCCGCGUGUAUGAAGAAGGCCUUCGGGUUGUAAAGCACUUUCAGCGGGGAGGCGUUACCCGCAGAAGAAGCACCGGCUAACUCCGUGCCAGCAGCCGCGGUAAUAC